This 67-nucleotide transfer RNA is filed under the name Bathyomphalus contortus. Its description in RNAcentral is "tRNA-Lys". Lineage: Eukaryota; Metazoa; Mollusca; Gastropoda; Planorbidae. The record is from RNAcentral.
UUUUUGAGAGCUGAAUAGCAAUAAACUUUUAAUUUAUUUAUAUAGGAAAUUUUUUCUAUUCUUGCGU